Molecule: ribosomal RNA, 302 nt
Filed under: uncultured bacterium
Lineage: Bacteria
Description: partial 16S ribosomal RNA
Rfam family: Bacterial small subunit ribosomal RNA
Source: RNAcentral
GCAGUCGCCGCGGGAAUACAGAGGGUGCGAGCGUUAAUCGGAUUUACUGGGCGUAAAGCGUGCGUAGGCGGCUUCUUAAGUCGGAUGUGAAAUCCCUGAGCUUAACUUAGGAAUUGCAUUCGAUACUGGGAAGCUAGAGUAUGGGAGAGGAUGGUAGAAUUCCAGGUGUAGCGGUGAAAUGCGUAGAGAUCUGGAGGAAUACCGAUGGCGAAGGCAGCCAUCUGGCCUAAUACUGACGCUGAGGUACGAAAGCAUGGGGAGCAAACAGGAUUAGAUACCCGUGUAGUCCCUGUCUCUUAUAC